RNAcentral lists this transfer RNA (73 nucleotides) under Saccoglossus kowalevskii. RNAcentral describes it as "tRNA-Thr". It matches the Rfam family "tRNA". From Rfam's summary of the family: Transfer RNA (tRNA) molecules are approximately 80 nucleotides in length. Their secondary structure includes four short double-helical elements and three loops (D, anti-codon, and T loops). Further hydrogen bonds mediate the characteristic L-shaped molecular structure. tRNAs have two regions of fundamental functional importance: the anti-codon, which is responsible for specific mRNA codon recognition, and the 3' end, to which the tRNAs corresponding amino acid is attached (by aminoacyl-tRNA synthetases). tRNAs cope with the degeneracy of the genetic code in two manners: having more than one tRNA (with a specific anti-codon) for a particular amino acid; and 'wobble' base-pairing, i.e. permitting non-standard base-pairing at the 3rd anti-codon position. Lineage: Eukaryota; Metazoa; Hemichordata; Enteropneusta; Harrimaniidae. The record is from RNAcentral.
GCCUCCUUAGCUCAGUGGUUAGAGCACUGGUCUUGUAAACCAGAGGUCAUGAGUUCGAAUCUCAUAGGGGGCU